GCAUAGCUCAGUUGGUUAGAGUGUGAUGCUGAUAACACCAAGCUUGUAGGUUCAAUCGCUGUGUGGGACA
Molecule: non-coding RNA, 70 nt
Organism: Podarcis lilfordi (Lilford's wall lizard)
Lineage: Eukaryota; Metazoa; Chordata; Lepidosauria; Squamata; Lacertidae
Source: the annotation of a GenBank genome assembly